Molecule: ribosomal RNA, 440 nt
Filed under: uncultured bacterium
Lineage: Bacteria
Description: bacterial SSU rRNA
Rfam family: Bacterial small subunit ribosomal RNA
Source: RNAcentral
AAUGAACGUUGGCGGCGUGGAUUAGGCAUGCAAGUCGAGCGAUCGUAGCAAUACGGGAGCGGCAAACGGGGUAGGAAUACCUCGGAACAUACCCUCAGGUCGGGGAUAGCGGCGGGAAACUGCCGGUAAUACCCGAUGAUAUCGAGAGAUCAAAGGUUUACUGCCUGGGGAGUGGCCGAGGCGAUAUUAGCUAGUUGGUGAGGUAAUGGCUCACCAAGGCAUAGAUGUCUAGGGGGGCUGAGAGCGCGACCCCCACACUGGGACUGAGAAACUGCCCAGACACCUACGGGUGGCUGCAGUCGAGAAUCUUCGUCAAUGGGGGAAACCCUGAACGAGCGACGCCGCGUGUGGGAUGAAGGCCUUUGGGUUGUAAACCACUGUCAGGGGGGAUGAAACCGCAAGGUUGACAGAGCCCCAGAGGAAGCACGGGCUAAGUCGUG